This 92-nucleotide transfer RNA is filed under the name Ailuropoda melanoleuca (giant panda). It matches the Rfam family "tRNA". Rfam says of the family: Transfer RNA (tRNA) molecules are approximately 80 nucleotides in length. Lineage: Eukaryota; Metazoa; Chordata; Mammalia; Carnivora; Ursidae. The record is from Rfam by way of RNAcentral.
GCCCAGGUGGCUCAGUCGGUUAAGCAUUUGACUCUUGAUCUUAGCUCAGGUCUCAAAUCUCUGGGUCGUGGGUUAAAGUCCCAUGUUGGGCU